GGAGACAAGCUGGCCGGCCCACCGACCCCGCGCUCGGCGGAUAGUGGGGCUGAGGGUGGAGGCCGCCCGCCCGCGAGGAAAGCGGCAGCACCGGGGAGGCGGCAGGGCGGGGCCCAGCUCGGCGGUUGGUGAUGGAGCCAGUGGCUGCCUUGCGUGGCUGAAGGGAAAGAGGAGGAGAAACUGAUUGGCACAAAUAGUUUAUAAGCCAAGAGGAGUCUGGCAAAGGUUUGUCAACCCCACUGAACCUGGUUACCUAUUAUUGAAAAUCACUGCUGUGAUAACGAACAGUACAGCAGAAAGGCUCAUCUCAACUUCGCAAAGAAGAUGAUCAGCGAAGGAAGAUGGACUUCCCCGGCAGGCAGCUGCGAGCCACUAUGGAUCUUCUUUUACAACGGGGGUAGGCAACCGCCAGCCUGUGGCCCAAUCUUGGCCCACCAGGCCAUUUCCCCUAAACCAUUCCCAUCAGCAGGCUUCAAGGUUCAAUGCACCACUGGCUACAUGCAUCUGAUGAGCAGAGAUUGGUGCUAGAGUGGCAUGAGAAUGAGAAC
This is a long non-coding RNA of Lacerta agilis (Sand lizard), 548 nucleotides long. RefSeq lists it as uncharacterized. The record is from RefSeq and is a predicted model, not a curated record. The transcript is spliced from 3 exons. Lineage: Eukaryota; Metazoa; Chordata; Lepidosauria; Squamata; Lacertidae.